GAGGCAACAUGGACCUUAGUGGCCCUUCAGUUGGGAAAUGAGCAUCAAGCCCUUAGCCUUGUCAAGCAAGUGCUCAACUUAUGGACAUUUCAUUUGUGACAAAUGUCCAUGUGUGGAUUCUUCCAGUUUGCACUUUCACCUUCAGCAUGUACCUGUGAUCUCCAUGGCUACCUAUGCCACAUGCAUGGACUUGAACCAAGUGCUUUCUAAAGAUCAACAGAGCAAAAUCACCAACAGAGUGGCUCAUGGUAUGCCCAGAGCGGAGAAGACUUUUCAACAUUAGUCGUGUUACUUGGUCACAAG
This 303-nucleotide long non-coding RNA is filed under the name Mus spicilegus (steppe mouse). RNAcentral describes it as "lncRNA (ENSMSIG00000017272.1)". Lineage: Eukaryota; Metazoa; Chordata; Mammalia; Rodentia; Muridae. The record is from RNAcentral.